Long non-coding RNA from Lolium perenne, 614 nucleotides. RefSeq lists it as uncharacterized. The record is from RefSeq and is a predicted model, not a curated record. Lineage: Eukaryota; Viridiplantae; Streptophyta; Magnoliopsida; Poales; Poaceae.
CCUACAGGGCAAGCGCUUGAUAGGCAGGACACACAUGAGCAUAGCCAUCUCCUUGAUACCAUUGAAAGAUUGUCUAUGCAACAUACAAAUCUUUGAUGGACAUCUGAGUUCUGCAGGAGCUACAAAGCAUUUUAGAAGCUGAUAAAGAAAGUAAUAGAUGGAAGAGACAAGACAGGUGGAACAACAUAGCAUCAACUAACAGCAAACGUAAAGGAACAUUUGGAACAUAUUGGAUCACAGCCUUACUACUAUUUGCUGACACAGCAGCGGGAGCACGAAGUCUUUCUUCUACUGGAAUGUUAGUUUACUGGAGAUACCUUUUGAAUUUUUUUAGCCAAUGUUUAGCUUUAUUUUGCAUCGCUCUAGCAUUAAUUGGGGUAUAGUUAAUUUAUUAUGCAGAGCAACUGAAGCAUGUUUAGUUUCGUGUCUACAUGCCAGUAAUGUUAGUAUAUGCAUUUAAUCUUAUGGUGAUUGAAUAAAUAAAAAAUAAGCUCUACUUAAUUGGAUAUGUAACAUACUAUGUAUUUCAUAGGUCACUCACCAAUAGUUGCCUAGGCAACAAUUAUUGCAUAUUAUGUAGCCUUUGCACAAUCUGGCGAGAAGUUACUACUGCC